Molecule: ribosomal RNA, 422 nt
Filed under: uncultured prokaryote
Description: bacterial SSU rRNA
Rfam family: Bacterial small subunit ribosomal RNA
Source: RNAcentral
UGAGGAAUAUUGGUCAAUGGGCGGAAGCCUGAACCAGCCAUGCCGCGUGCAGGAAGACGGCCCUACGGGUUGUAAACUGCUUUUCUGCGGGAAGAACGGCCCCUACGUGUGGGGGUGUGACGGUACCGCAGGAAUAAGGAUCGGCUAACUCCGUGCCAGCAGCCGCGGUAAUACGGAGGAUCCGAGCGUUAUCCGGAUUUACUGGGUUUAAAGGGUGCGUAGGCGGCUCCCUCAGUCAGCGGUGAAAUGUGUCGGCUCAACCGACAACCUGCCGUUGAUACUGUGGAGCUUGAGUUGGGUUGAGGCAGGCGGAAUGUGCGGUGUAGCGGUGAAAUGCAUAGAUAUCGCACAGAACGCCGAUUGCGUAGGCAGCUUGCCAAGCCCACACUGACGCUGAGGCACGAAAGCGUGGGGAUCAAACA